UCAAAGCCAUAUUUCUCUAGAGGUUUAAUAGGGCGUCUAUCCCUGUCUCUAUCAAGUAGAUACUCCUUCACACCUGAACUCUCUACCUGAGAAUCAUCAUGUUCUUGACUUGAACUAGUGCAUGGUUCCUUGCAUUUAUUCACCUGAACCAUUUCAUUGCUCACUUGAAUCAUAUUUGAACCCAAAGUCUCUCCAUUUGGCAUGGUCACCUCUGUCAAAACUGACUGUUUCAUCAUGAAAUCUUCAUCAAACACUGCAUCUCUGCUCAACACCACCUUUCUGGAAACUGGAUCCCAGAACUUGAAC
Molecule: long non-coding RNA, 306 nt
Filed under: Lupinus angustifolius (narrow-leaved blue lupine)
Lineage: Eukaryota; Viridiplantae; Streptophyta; Magnoliopsida; Fabales; Fabaceae
Description: long non-coding RNA (LANG_LNC003139)
Source: RNAcentral